Molecule: ribosomal RNA, 433 nt
Filed under: uncultured bacterium
Lineage: Bacteria
Description: partial 16S ribosomal RNA
Rfam family: Bacterial small subunit ribosomal RNA
Source: RNAcentral
AACGAACGCUGGCGGCAGGCCUAACACAUGCAAGUCGAGCGCGCCCUUCGGGGUGAGCGGCGGCCGGGUGCGUAACGCGUGGGAACGUGCCCUUUUCUACGGAAUAGCCUCGGGAAACUGAGAGUAAUACCGUAUACGCCCUUUGGGGGAAAGAUUUAUCGGAAAAGGAUCGGCCCGCGUUGGAUUAGGUAGUUGGUGGGGUAAUGGCCUACCAAGCCGACGAUCCAUAGCUGGUUUGAGAGGAUGAUCAGCCACACUGGGACUGAGACACGGCCCAGACUCCUACGGGAGGCAGCAGUGGGGAAUCUUAGACAAUGGGGGCAACCCUGAUCUAGCCAUGCCGCGUGAGUGAUGAAGGCCUUAGGGUUGUAAAGCUCUUUCAGCUGGGAAGAUAAUGACGGUACCAGCAGAAGAAGCCCCGGCUAACUCCGUG